CAGACAGCUGAAACUCUUUGGACACAAUGCCAAGGACGCUGUCUGCAGCCAGCCACUGCCUGAGCAGGUUUCCCCUCGGAUCCUGGACCAAGAAGACCGUGCUGAUCAGAGGAUUUUCAAAACUUCAGUUUGUGCUUUGAAAAACAUCCAGCAAGUUUAGAGUCUUACCCUGAUGAUGAUGUCCACGGGGCUGAUGAAGGGCUUCCCAUCAGAGUGAAUGGAAACAACUCUGAUCUUCACCGUCUGCCCAGCGGUGAGAACGAUGAGGCUGAAAACACCCCACACCCGGAGACGCUCCAUUUGUAUGAAUGAAAUUCACUCCAGGGAGCUUCUCUCAAUACUGAAAGCAGGAACAUCUGCCAGGAUCAGCAC
Molecule: long non-coding RNA, 372 nt
Organism: Oreochromis aureus
Lineage: Eukaryota; Metazoa; Chordata; Actinopteri; Cichliformes; Cichlidae
Source: Ensembl